This 301-nucleotide ribosomal RNA is filed under the name uncultured bacterium. RNAcentral describes it as "partial 16S ribosomal RNA". It matches the Rfam family "Bacterial small subunit ribosomal RNA", at positions 509 to 807 of the family's 1533-position model. The record is from RNAcentral.
CAGCCGCCACGGUAAUACGUAGGGUGCAAGCGUUAAUCGGAAUUACUGGGCGUAAAGCGUGCGCAGGCGGUUGUGUAAGACAGGUGUGAAAUCCCCGGGCUUAACCUGGGAACUGCGCUUGUGACUGCACAGCUAGAGUAUGGCAGAGGGGGGUGGAAUUCCACGUGUAGCAGUGAAAUGCGUAGAGAUGUGGAGGAACACCGAUGGCGAAGGCAGCCCCCUGGGCCAAUACUGACGCUCAUGCACGAAAGCGUGGGGAGCAAACAGGAUUAGAGACCCGCGUAGUCCCUGUCUCUUAUAC